This 423-nucleotide ribosomal RNA is filed under the name uncultured bacterium. RNAcentral's name for it is "bacterial SSU rRNA". It matches the Rfam family "Bacterial small subunit ribosomal RNA", at positions 207 to 622 of the family's 1533-position model. The record is from RNAcentral.
AAGACCUUGCGCUUUUGGAGCGGCCGAUGCCUGAUUAGCUUGUUGGUAAGGUAAAGGCUUACCAAGGCUUCGAUCAGUAGCUGGUCUGAGAGGACGGCCAGCCACACUGGGACUGAGACACGGCCCAGACUCCUACGGGAGGCAGCAGUGGGGAAUUUUGGACAAUGGGGGCAACCCUGAUCCAGCCAUGCCGCGUGAGUGAAGAAGGCCUUCGGGUUGUAAAGCUCUUUCAGCCGGAACGAAACGGUUACGGAUAACACCCGUGACUACUGACGGUACCGGAAGAAGAAGCACCGGCUAACUACGUGCCAGCAGCCGCGGUAAUACGUAGGGUGCGAGCGUUAAUCGGAAUUACUGGGCGUAAAGCGUGCGCAGGUGGUUUUGUAAGUCAGAUGUGAAAUCCCCGGGCUUAACCUGGGAACU